UCCUACGGGGGGCAGCAGUGAGGAAUAUUGGGCAAUGGGCGAAAGCCUGACCCAGCAACGCCGCGUGGAGGAAGACGGCCUUCGGGUUGUAAACUCCUUUUACGGGGGAAGAGGAAGGACGGUACCCCGAGAAUAAGUCACGGCUAACUACGUGCCAGCAGCCGCGGUAAUACGUAGGUGACAAGCGUUAUCCGGAAUUACUGGGCGUAAAGCGCACGCAGGCGGCGCAUUAAGUCUGACGUGAAAUCUCUCGGCUUAACCGGGAGGGGUCGUUGGAGACUGAUGUGCUUGAGGCGAUGAGAGGGGUGUAGAAUUCCCGGUGUAGUGGUGGAAUGCGUAGAUAUCGGGAGGAAUACCAGUGGCGAAAGCGGCACCCUGGCAUUGGCCUGACGCUCAUGUGCGAAGGCGUGGGGAGCGAACGGGAUUAGAUACCCCGGUAGUCCACGCGGUAAACGAUGAGUACUAGGUGUGGGUGGAGUGAAAUCCAUCUGUGCCGAAGCAAACGCGCUAAGUACUCCGCCUGGGGAGUACGGCCGCAAGGCUAAAACUCAAAGGAAUUGACGG
This 564-nucleotide ribosomal RNA is filed under the name uncultured Chloroflexota bacterium. RNAcentral's name for it is "bacterial SSU rRNA". It matches the Rfam family "Bacterial small subunit ribosomal RNA", at positions 337 to 916 of the family's 1533-position model. Lineage: Bacteria; Bacillati; Chloroflexota. The record is from RNAcentral.